GAGAGGAGCUUGCUCUUCUUGGAUGAGUUGCGAACGGGUGAGUAACGCGUAGGUAACCUGCCUUGUAGCGGGGGAUAACUAUUGGAAACGAUAGCUAAUACCGCAUAACAAUGGAUGACACAUGUCAUUUAUUUGAAAGGGGCAAUUGUUCCACUACAAGAUGGACCUGCGUUGUAUUAGCUAGUAGGUGAGGUAAUGGCUCACCUAGGCGACGAUACAUAGCCGACCUGAGAGGGUGAUCGGCCACACUGGGACUGAGACACGGCCCAGACUCCUACGGGAGGCAGCAGUAGGGAAUCUUCGGCAAUGGGGGCAACCCUGACCGAGCAACGCCGCGUGAGUGAAGAAGGUUUUCGGAUCGUAAAGCUCUGUUGUAAGUCAAGAACGGGUGUGAGAGUGGAAAGUUCACACUGUGACGGUAGCUUACCAGAAAGGGACGGCUAACUACGUGCCAGCAGCCGCGGUAAUACGUAGGUCCCGAGCGUUGUCCGGAUUUAUUGGGCGUAAAGCGAGCGCAGGCGGUUUGAUAAGUCUGAAGUUAAAGGCUGUGGCUCAACCAUAGUUCGCUUUGGAAACUGUCAAACUUGAGUGCAGAAGGGGAGAGUGGAAUUCCAUGUGUAGCGGUGAAAUGCGUAGAUAUAUGGAGGAACACCGGUGGCGAAAGCGGCUCUCUGGUCUGUAACUGACGCUGAGGCUCGAAAGCGUGGGGAGCGAACAGGAUUAGAUACCCUGGUAGUCCACGCCGUAAACGAUGAGUGCUAGGUGUUGGAUCCUUUCCGGGAUUCAGUGCCGCAGCUAACGCAUUAAGCACUCCGCCUGGGGAGUACGACCGCAAGGUUGAAACUCAAAGGAAUUGACGGGGGCCCGCACAAGCGGUGGAGCAUGUGGUUUAAUUCGAAGCAACGCGAAGAACCUUACCAGGUCUUGACAUCCCGAUGCUAUUUCUAGAGAUAGAAAGUUACUUCGGUACAUCGGUGACAGGUGGUGCAUGGUUGUCGUCAGCUCGUGUCGUGAGAUGUUGGGUUAAGUCCCGCAACGAGCGCAACCCCUAUUGUUAGUUGCCAUCAUUCAGUUGGGCACUCUAGCGAGACUGCCGGUAAUAAACCGGAGGAAGGUGGGGAUGACGUCAAAUCAUCAUGCCCCUUAUGACCUGGGCUACACACGUGCUACAAUGGUUGGUACAACGAGUUGCGAGUCGGUGACGGCGAGCUAAUCUCUUAAAGCCAAUCUCAGUUCGGAUUGUAGGCUGCAACUCGCCUACAUGAAGUCGGAAUCGCUAGUAAUCGCGGAUCAGCACGCCGCGGUGAAUACGUUCCCGGGCCUUGUACACACCGCCCGUCACACCACGAGAGUUUG
This 1356-nucleotide ribosomal RNA is filed under the name Streptococcus thermophilus. RNAcentral describes it as "bacterial SSU rRNA". It matches the Rfam family "Bacterial small subunit ribosomal RNA", at positions 71 to 1414 of the family's 1533-position model. The record is from RNAcentral. Lineage: Bacteria; Bacillati; Bacillota; Bacilli; Lactobacillales; Streptococcaceae.